RNAcentral lists this ribosomal RNA (791 nucleotides) under uncultured bacterium. Its description in RNAcentral is "bacterial SSU rRNA". It matches the Rfam family "Bacterial small subunit ribosomal RNA", at positions 8 to 796 of the family's 1533-position model. The record is from RNAcentral.
AGAGUUUGAUCAUGGCUCAGAAUCAACGCUGGCGGCGUGCCUAACACAUGCAAGUCGAACGAGAAAGCCUGGUAGUAAUACUAGGUGAGUAAAGUGGCGUACGGGUGAGUAACACGUGGGUAACCUACCUCCGAAUGGGGAAUAACCCUGGGAAACCGGGGCUAAUACCGCAUAACAUCUUAGUACUUCGGUACCGGGAUUGAAACUUGGCAACGAGGUUUGGAGAGGGGCCCGCGGCUGAUUAGCUAGUUGGUGAGGUAACGGCCCACCAAGGCUAUGAUCGGUAGCCGGCCUGAGAGGGCGGACGGCCACACUGGAACUGAAACACGGUCCAGACUCCUACGGGAGGCAGCAGUGGGGAAUUUUGCGCAAUGGGGGAAACCCUGACGCAGCAACGCCGCGUGGAUGAUGAAGCCCCUUGGGGUGUAAAAUCCUUUCGGCAGGGACGAAACCCGCGUAAGCGGGCCGACGGUACCUGAAGAAGAAGCCCCGGCUAACUCCGUGCCAGCAGCCGCGGUAAUACGGGGGGGGCGAGCGUUGUUCGGAAUUAUUGGGCGUAAAGGGAGCGUAGGCGGUGCGGUAAGUCGGGUGUGAAACCUCCAGGCUCAACUUGGAGCUGGCAUCCGAAACUGCCGUGCUAGAGUGUGGGAGGGGAGAGUGGAAUUCCCGGUAGCGGUGAAAUGCGUAGAUAUCGGGAGGAACAUCGGUGGCGAAGGCGGCUCUCUGGACCAUAACUGACGCUGAGGCUCGAAAGCUAGGGGAGCAAACAGGAUUAGAUACCCUAGUAGUCC